GCGACGGUGGUGAAAUCGGUAAACACAGGGGACUUAAACUCCCCCGGCUGUAAUGGCCUUGCGGGUUCAAGUCCCGCCCGUCGCACCA
RNAcentral lists this transfer RNA (88 nucleotides) under Mangrovimicrobium sediminis. RNAcentral's name for it is "Haliea sp. SAOS-164 tRNA-Leu". It matches the Rfam family "tRNA". From Rfam's summary of the family: Transfer RNA (tRNA) molecules are approximately 80 nucleotides in length. Their secondary structure includes four short double-helical elements and three loops (D, anti-codon, and T loops). Further hydrogen bonds mediate the characteristic L-shaped molecular structure. tRNAs have two regions of fundamental functional importance: the anti-codon, which is responsible for specific mRNA codon recognition, and the 3' end, to which the tRNAs corresponding amino acid is attached (by aminoacyl-tRNA synthetases). tRNAs cope with the degeneracy of the genetic code in two manners: having more than one tRNA (with a specific anti-codon) for a particular amino acid; and 'wobble' base-pairing, i.e. permitting non-standard base-pairing at the 3rd anti-codon position. Lineage: Bacteria; Pseudomonadati; Pseudomonadota; Gammaproteobacteria; Cellvibrionales; Halieaceae. The record is from RNAcentral. RNAcentral also lists the same sequence under 1 other name.